GACGAACGCUGGCGGCGUGCUUAACACAUGCAAGUCGAACGGAAAGGCCCUGCUUUUGUGGGGUGCUCGAGUGGCGAACGGGUGAGUAACACGUGAGUAACCUGCCCUUGACUUUGGGAUAACUUCAGGAAACUGGGGCUAAUACCGGAUAGGAGCUCCUGCUGCAUGGUGGGGGUUGGAAAGUUUCGGCGGUUGGGGAUGGACUCGCGGCUUAUCAGCUUGUUGGGGGGGUAGUGGCUUACCAAGGCUUUGACGGGUAGCCGGCCUGAGAGGGUGACCGGCCACCUUGGGACUGAGAUACGGCCCAGACGCCUACGGGAGGCAGCAGUGGGGAAUAUUGCACAAUGGGCGGAAGCCUGAUGCAGCAACGCCGCGUGCGGGAUGACGGCCUUCGGGUUGUAAACCGCAUUCGCCUGUGACGAAGCGUGAGUGACGGUAAUGGGUAAAGAAGCACCGGCUAACUACGUG
RNAcentral lists this ribosomal RNA (468 nucleotides) under uncultured bacterium. RNAcentral describes it as "partial 16S ribosomal RNA". It matches the Rfam family "Bacterial small subunit ribosomal RNA", at positions 28 to 507 of the family's 1533-position model. The record is from RNAcentral.